AAGAACCUUACCAGGUCUUGACAUCCUCUGACAAUCCUAGAGAUAGGACGUCCCCUUCGGGGGCAGAGUGACAGGUGGUGCAUGGUUGUCGUCAGCUCGUGUCGUGAGAUGUUGGGUUAAGUCCCGCAACGAGCGCAACCCUUGAUCUUAGUUGCCAGCAUUCAGUUGGGCACUCUAAGGUGACUGCCGGUGACAAACCGGAGGAAGGUGGGGAUGACGUCAAAUCAUCAUGCCCCUUAUGACCUGGGCUACACACGUGCUACAAUGGACAGAACAAAGGGCAGCGAAACCGCGAGGUUAAGCCAAUCCCACAAAUCUGUUCUCAGUUCGGAUCGCAGUCUGCAACUCGACUGCGUGAAGCUGGAAUCGCUAGUAAUCGCGGAUCAGCAUGCCGCGGUGAAUACGUUCCCGGGCCUUGUACACACCGCCCGUCACACCACGAGAGUUUGUAACACCCGAAGUCGGUGAGGUAACCUUUAUGGAGCCAGCCGCCGAAGGUGGGACAGAUGAUUGGGGUGAAGUCGUAACA
This 529-nucleotide ribosomal RNA is filed under the name uncultured Bacillus sp. RNAcentral describes it as "bacterial SSU rRNA". It matches the Rfam family "Bacterial small subunit ribosomal RNA", at positions 964 to 1493 of the family's 1533-position model. The record is from RNAcentral. Lineage: Bacteria; Bacillati; Bacillota; Bacilli; Caryophanales; Bacillaceae.